Molecule: ribosomal RNA, 484 nt
Filed under: uncultured bacterium
Lineage: Bacteria
Description: partial 16S ribosomal RNA
Rfam family: Bacterial small subunit ribosomal RNA
Source: RNAcentral
AUUGAACGCUGGCGGCAGGCCUAACACAUGCAAGUCGAGCGGAUGAAGGGAGCUUGCUCCUGGAUUCAGCGGCGGACGGGUGAGUAAUGCCUAGGAAUCUGCCUGGUAGUGGGGGAUAACGUCCGGAAACGGGCGCUAAUACCGUAUACGUCCUGAGGGAGAAAGUGGGGGAUCUUCGGACCUCACGCUAUCAGAUGAGCCUAGGUCGGAUUAGCUAGUUGGUGGGGUAAAGGCCUACCAAGGCGACGAUCCGUAACUGGUCUGAGAGGAUGAUCAGUCACACUGGAACUGAGAGACGGUGCAGACACCUACGGGAGGAACCAGUGGGGAAGAUUGAAUAAUGGGCGAGGGAUGUAUAACGCAAUAUCGCGUGAGUGAAGAAGGUCUUCGGAUAUUUAAUUUCUUUGAUCAGGAAAGAAAAAAAGUCACCGGAUAACUCCAUGUCCGCACGGUACCUAAUGAGCAAGAAAAGGCUAGCUUCGUG